AGAUUGAACGCUGGCGGCAUGCCUUACACAUGCAAGUCGAACGGCAGCACGGGAGCAAUCCUGGUGGCGAGUGGCGAACGGGUGAGUAAUAUAUCGGAACGUGCCCAGUCGUGGGGGAUAACGCAGCGAAAGCUGUGCUAAUACCGCAUACGAUCUCUGGAUGAAAGCGGGGGACUCGCAAGGGCCUCGCGCGAUUGGAGCGGCCGAUAUCAGAUUAGCUAGUUGG
Molecule: ribosomal RNA, 226 nt
Filed under: uncultured soil bacterium
Lineage: Bacteria
Description: partial 16S ribosomal RNA
Rfam family: Bacterial small subunit ribosomal RNA
Source: RNAcentral